GAACCUUCUCCUGUCUUCUCCAGAUGAGUCCCUGAUCUUUGCUGGCUCGGAUACGCUGUCCAGUGCCGAGGAGUCAGGGAGCAAUGAAGAGUCACCUGAGAAAAAUCUCCAGGUGCUGUCGGCUACAGACCCCAGGCUGGAGCAGACCCUCUUGGCUGCAGCCAGUGCCGGGCUGCCCAUCCUGCUCCUGGACUUCGAGAGGAGCCCCUGCUGCCCUGCUCUCCUUCAGCUCCUGCAGAAGGAGACGCUGCUGGGGGAAGGGGGCAGUACCCUGCACUCAGAGUCACUUGGGGCUGUGCAGGUGCUGCCGUCUUUCCGGCUCUACCUCAGCACCACCCUGCCGCUCCGUGCCUUGGGGAAAGAGAUGGACCACGCGCUCCUGAAGAGCCUGAUUGUGAUUGACUUGAGCCUCAGCCAGUCAGCCCUGGAGGAUCUGCUGCUGGAGGAGGUGCUGCAGGCCGAGAGGCGGGAGGCCCAGACCCAUUGGCGCAUGCUGCAGCUGAGCAUCCUGCAGCUGGAGGACAAGCUGGAGGACACGGAGGAGGAGUUGCUGGAGCUGAUUUCGCAGCCGUCGCGUCCCCUGCUGGAGGUGGAGGAGGAGUUCCUGCCCCUUCUGCAGCUGCUGCAAGCCCAGCUUGAGAGCCUGAGCGCCAGCCACCAGCACCUGCUCUCCCUGCGCCAGCACCACCUGGCCGUGCACGCCCAGUACCGGCAAGUGGCGCGCCUGGGGGCGGCGCUGCACCAGGCCCUGCAGCAGGUGUGCCGGCUGCACCCCCAGUACCAGUGCUCCACGG
RNAcentral lists this long non-coding RNA (794 nucleotides) under Gopherus agassizii (Agassiz's desert tortoise). Its description in RNAcentral is "lncRNA (ENSGAGG00000003134.1)". Lineage: Eukaryota; Metazoa; Chordata; Testudines; Testudinidae. The record is from RNAcentral.